UAGUGGCGAACGGGUGAGUAACACGUGAGUAACCUGCCCUUGACUCUGGGAUAAGCCUGGGAAACUGGGUCUAAUACCGGAUAUGACUGACCGCCGCAUGGUGGUUGGUGGAAAGCUUUUGUGGUUUUGGAUGGACUCGCGGCCUAUCAGCUUGUUGGUGGGGUAAUGGCCUACCAAGGCGACGACGGGUAGCCGGCCUGAGAGGGUGACCGGCCACACUGGGACUGAGACACGGCCCAGACUCCUACGGGAGGCAGCAGUGGGGAAUAUUGCACAAUGGGCGCAAGCCUGAUGCAGCGACGCCGCGUGAGGGAUGACGGCCUUCGGGUUGUAAACCUCUUUCAGUAGGGAAGAAGCCGUAAGGUGACGGUACCUGCAGAAGAAGCGCCGGCUAACUACGUGCCAGCAGCCGCGGUAAUACGUAGGGCGCAAGCGUUAUCCGGAAUUAUUGGGCGUAAAGAGCUCGUAGGCGGUUUGUCGCGUCUGCCGUGAAAGUCCGGGGCUCAACUCCGGAUCUGCGGUGGGUACGGGCAGGCUAGAGUGAUGUAGGGGAGACUGGAAUUCCUGGUGUAGCGGUGAAAUGCGCAGAUAUCAGGAGGAACACCGAUGGCGAAGGCAGGUCUCUGGGCAUUAACUGACGCUGAGGAGCGAAAGCAUGGGGAGCGAACAGGAUUAGAUACCCUGGUAGUCCAUGCCGUAAACGUUGGGCACUAGGUGUGGGGGACAUUCCACGUUUUCCGCGCCGUAGCUAACGCAUUAAGUGCCCCGCCUGGGGAGUACGGCCGCAAGGCUAAAACUCAAAGGAAUUGACGGGGGCCCGCACAAGCGGCGGAGCAUGCGGAUUAAUUCGAUGCAACGCGAAGAACCUUACCAAGGCUUGACAUGAACCAGACCGGGCUGGAAACAGUCCUUCCCCUUUGGGGUUGGUUUACAGGUGGUGCAUGGUUGUCGUCAGCUCGUGUCGUGAGAUGUUGGGUUAAGUCCCGCAACGAGCGCAACCCUCGUUCUAUGUUGCCAGCGGUUCGGCCGGGGACUCAUAGGAGACUGCCGGGGUCAACUCGGAGGAAGGUGGGGACGACGUCAAAUCAUCAUGCCCCUUAUGUCUUGGGCUUCACGCAUGCUACAAUGGCCGGUACAAAGGGUUGCGAUACUGUGAGGUGGAGCUAAUCCCAAAAAGCCGGUCUCAGUUCGGAUUGGGGUCUGCAACUCGACCCCAUGAAGUCGGAGUCGCUAGUAAUCGCAGAUCAGCAACGCUGCGGUGAAUACGUUCCCGGGCCUUGUACACACCGCCC
This 1292-nucleotide ribosomal RNA is filed under the name Arthrobacter sp. FMS_60mD7. Its description in RNAcentral is "bacterial SSU rRNA". It matches the Rfam family "Bacterial small subunit ribosomal RNA", at positions 93 to 1395 of the family's 1533-position model. Lineage: Bacteria; Bacillati; Actinomycetota; Actinomycetes; Micrococcales; Micrococcaceae. The record is from RNAcentral.